This 279-nucleotide ribosomal RNA is filed under the name uncultured bacterium. Its description in RNAcentral is "partial 16S ribosomal RNA". It matches the Rfam family "Bacterial small subunit ribosomal RNA", at positions 506 to 784 of the family's 1533-position model. The record is from RNAcentral.
UGCCAGCAGCCGCGGUAAUACGGAGGGUCCGAGCGUUGUCCGGAAUUAUUGGGUUUAAAGGGUGCGUAGGCGGUCCGAUAAGUCAGAGGUGAAAUCUCAAGGCUCAACCUUGAAACUGCCUUUGAAACUGUUGGACUUGAAUUUACUAGGGGUAAGCGGAAUUUAUGAUGUAGCGGUGAAAUGCAUAGAUAUCAUAAAGAACACCGAUAGCGAAGGCAGCUUACUGGAGUAUUAUUGACGCUGAGGCACGAAAGCGUGGGUAGCGAACGGGAUUAGAUA